CUCUACUCUAGUGACUUCUAAUUAUGUGAUUUAUGAUCCCCUCAAAUCUAGCUCCUCUCCAAGGUGGAAAUUGAGGAGUUCUUAAAAUUUUCAAAGUACACCCUCUUUAGCCAUUAUUCAAGGAACCAGAAGUCAUUUCAACUUAAUUGUGAAAGAGAGGAAAAGGUGGCCAGGAAAAAAAAAAGCAAAAAAGCUCCAGAUUACAGUCUUUGGCUUUCCUCUGGGGUGACUAGGAUCAUCACAUGGAUUUUGAAGAGGCUGGAACUCUCCAAUAUUCUACUAAUUUGACUAUCAGAAAUUCAGAUUCACAGAAAGAAGGAGGAGGUGACUACUGUGAUUUCAGAAAGAGAAGAGCCUACAGACAAGUGGGU
Molecule: long non-coding RNA, 371 nt
Filed under: Monodelphis domestica (gray short-tailed opossum)
Lineage: Eukaryota; Metazoa; Chordata; Mammalia; Didelphimorphia; Didelphidae
Description: lncRNA (ENSMODG00000043506.1)
Source: RNAcentral